UUGGGAAUAUUGCACAAUGGGCGCAAGCCUGAUGCAGCCAUGCCGCGUGUGUGAAGAAGGCCUUCUGGUUGUAAAGCACUUUCAGCGGGGAGGAAGGCGAUAAGGUUAAUAACCUUGUCGAUUGACGUUACCCGCAGAAGAAGCACCGGCUAACUCCGUGCCAGCAGCCGCGGUAAUACGGAGGGUGCAAGCGUUAAUCGGAAUUACUGGGCGUAAAGCGCACGCAGGCGGUCUGUCAAGUCGGAUGUGAAAUCCCCGGGCUUAACCUGGGAACUGCAUUCGAAACUGGCAGGCUAGAGUCUUGUAGAGGGGGGUAGAAUUCCAGGUGUAGCGGUGAAAUGCGUAGAGAUCUGGAGGAAUACCGGUGGCGAAGGCGGCCCCCUGGACAAAGACUGACGCUCAGGUGCGAAAGCGUGGGGAGCAAACAGG
Molecule: ribosomal RNA, 429 nt
Filed under: Chloroflexota bacterium
Lineage: Bacteria; Bacillati; Chloroflexota
Description: Chloroflexi bacterium partial 16S ribosomal RNA
Rfam family: Bacterial small subunit ribosomal RNA
Source: RNAcentral